RNAcentral lists this transfer RNA (75 nucleotides) under Danionella cerebrum. RNAcentral's name for it is "tRNA-Gly". It matches the Rfam family "tRNA". From Rfam's summary of the family: Transfer RNA (tRNA) molecules are approximately 80 nucleotides in length. Their secondary structure includes four short double-helical elements and three loops (D, anti-codon, and T loops). Lineage: Eukaryota; Metazoa; Chordata; Actinopteri; Cypriniformes; Danionidae. The record is from RNAcentral.
UCUUUCCUGCUGCUCAGUUGGUAGAGCAUUGCACUACCAACGCAAAGGUUGUCGGUUUAAAUCCCAGGGAAAGCA